UGGGGAAUUUUGGACAAUGGACGCAAGUCUGAUCCAGCCAUGCCGCGUGCGGGAAGAAGGCCUUCGGGUUGUAAACCGCUUUUGUCAGGGAAGAAACGAGUUUCUCUAAUACAGAGACCUAAUGACGGUACCUGAAGAAUAAGCACCGGCUAACUACGUGCCAGCAGCCGCGGUAAUACGUAGGGUGCGAGCGUUGAUCGGAAUUACUGGGCGUAAAGCGUGCGCAGGCGGUUAUGUAAGACAGAUGUGAAAUCCCCGGGCUCAACCUGGGAACUGCAUUUGUGACUGCAUGGCUAGAGUACGGUAGAGGGGGAUGGAAUUCCGCGUGUAGCAGUGAAAUGCGUAGAUAUGCGGAGGAACACCGAUGGCGAAGGCAAUCCCCUGGACCUGUACUGACGCUCAUGCACGAAAGCGUGGGGAGCAAACA
RNAcentral lists this ribosomal RNA (427 nucleotides) under uncultured bacterium. RNAcentral describes it as "bacterial SSU rRNA". It matches the Rfam family "Bacterial small subunit ribosomal RNA", at positions 355 to 774 of the family's 1533-position model. The record is from RNAcentral.